ACGAACGCUGGCGGCGUGCUUAACACAUGCAAGUCGAACGGAAAGGCCCUGCUUUUGUGGGGUGCUCGAGUGGCGAACGGGUGAGUAACACGUGAGUAACCUGCCCUUGACUUUGGGAUAACUUCAGGAAACUGGGGCUAAUACCGGAUAGGAGCUCCUGCUGCAUGGUGAGGGUUGGAAAGUUUCGGCGGUUGGGGAUGGACUCGCGGCUUAUCAGUUUGUUGGUGGGGUAGUGGCUUACCAAGGCUUUGACGGGUAGCCGGCCUGAGAGGGUGACCGGCCACAUUGGGACUGAGAUACGGCCCAGACUCCUACGGGAGGCAGCAGUGGGGAAUAUUGCACAAUGGGCGGAAGCCUGAUGCAGCAACGCCGCGUGCGGGAUGACGGCCUUCGGGUUGUAAACCGCUUUCGCCUGUGACGAAGCGUGAGUGACGGUAAUGGGUAAAGAAGCACCGGCUAACUACGUG
This 467-nucleotide ribosomal RNA is filed under the name uncultured bacterium. RNAcentral describes it as "partial 16S ribosomal RNA". It matches the Rfam family "Bacterial small subunit ribosomal RNA", at positions 29 to 507 of the family's 1533-position model. The record is from RNAcentral.